GAUGUUUUUUCGUUUGUUUUUUGAAAGUUGAUUUUGCACUAUUAAGUUGUAUAAGCGUUGCUUGUCUCAUAUUCAGUUUUAAAGCAAAUCAGUGUAGCAAACUGAGCAAUAAUUCACGUUUUAUUCGUGCACUUUCCUUUGCUACUUCAAGGCUUGAAUGUUUGAUUCAUUCAUUAUUGUUAUUCUAUUUUCAAAUUUAUUAUUAGCCUGUGGAAAAAGUUUAUUUUGAUAUUUACCUCAGAAGGCUGCAAAUAGAAAAGAGGCAUUCAAUUUUUAUUUAAAUUUUAUUUAAUAUGCCAUUGAUAUUUUUUAAUUAUUAUUAUUAUUUGAAACUCGAUUUUGCAUGUCACUAUAAAGUUAUAUAAGCUUUGCUUGUUCAAUAUUCAAUGCAAAACUUGUUUGAGUCCCUAUUAAAAGGUUAAUUUGUUCAGUUUUAAAUUUUGGCCCACUCUGUAUUUGAGUUGGACACCCCUGCUCUAGUGGGACUUGGUGGACGCUCAGAUGAAAUGUGUCAAAGUGAGAUGCAGGAGGAGGUGAAAUGUGUCAAAGUGGGAUGCAGGAGGGUGAAAUGUGUCAAAGUGAGAUGCAGGAGGAGGUGA
Long non-coding RNA from Entelurus aequoreus (snake pipefish), 599 nucleotides. RefSeq lists it as uncharacterized. NCBI's taxonomy places the organism in Eukaryota, Metazoa, Chordata, Actinopteri, Syngnathiformes, Syngnathidae. The record is from RefSeq and is a predicted model, not a curated record. The transcript is spliced from 3 exons.